Molecule: non-coding RNA, 24 nt
Filed under: Arabidopsis thaliana (thale cress)
Lineage: Eukaryota; Viridiplantae; Streptophyta; Magnoliopsida; Brassicales; Brassicaceae
Source: RNAcentral
AUAUUUAUGCGUUGGAAUGCCCAA